RNAcentral lists this ribosomal RNA (1002 nucleotides) under Triticum aestivum (bread wheat). RNAcentral describes it as "partial small subunit ribosomal RNA". Lineage: Eukaryota; Viridiplantae; Streptophyta; Magnoliopsida; Poales; Poaceae. The record is from RNAcentral.
AUGUCGUCCUCGUCGGACAACCCCAACACGGUCACCGACCGCGGCCUCUUCAGCAAGAGCAGCAAGGACGACGGCGCCGACAAGAAGAAGAAGCAGGAGGAGAAGAAAGAGGAUGGGGAGGAGGGCGGCGGCGGGUUCAUCGACAAGGUCAAGGACUUCAUCCACGACAUCGGGGAGAAGAUCGAGGAGGCGGUGGGGUUCGGCAAGCCCAGCGCCGACGUGGCCCGGAUCCACGUGCCCCACAUCGGCCUCCACCGCGCCGACCUCGUCGUCGACGUGCUCAUCAAGAACCCCAACCCGGUGCCCAUCCCGCUCGUCGACAUCGACUACCUCAUCGACAGCGACGGCCGGAAGCUCGUCGCGGGGCUCAUCCCGGACGCCGGCACCAUCCGCGCGCACGGCGAGGAGACGGUCAAGGUGCCCAUCACGCUCGACUUCGACGACAUCCGGAGCACCUACGCGGACAUCAAGCCGGGCAGCAUCAUCCCCUACCUGCUCCGGGUCAUCUUCCUCGUGGACGUGCCCGUCUUCGGCCGCAUCAAGAUCCCGCUGGACAAGUCCGGGGAGAUCCCCAUCCCGUACAAGCCCGACGUGGACGUGGACAAGAUCAAGUUCCACCACUUCUCCUUCGAGGAGACCACGGCCACCAUCCACCUGAGCCUGGAGAACAAGAACGACUUCGACCUCGGGCUCAACCUGCUCCAGUACGAGAUGUGGCUCGGCGACGACAGCGUGGUGGAGGCGGAGCUCACCGACUCCACCAGGAUCGAGAAGCAGGGGAUCACCAAGAUGCAGAUCCCCUUCACCUUCAGGCCCAAGGACCUGGGAUCUGCCGUCUGGGACAUGAUCAGGGGCAGGGGCACCGGCUACAGCAUCAAGGGCAAGAUCGAUGUCGACACCCCCUUUGGCAACAUGAAGCUGCCCAUCGACAAAGUCGGCGGAACCACUCGCCUCAAGAAGGACGACGACGAUGACGAUGUACGAGUGAAGUGCUGUUACUGA